CUCCACCGCUUGUGUGAGCCCCCGUCAAUUCCUUUGAGUUUCAGCCUUGCGACCAUACUCCCCAGGCGGGGUACUUAACACUUUUGCUUCGGCAGUGAACCCAUGUUAAGUCCACUACCUAGUACCCAUCGUUUAGGGCUAGGACUACCGGGGUAUCUAAUCCCGUUCGCUACCCUAGCUUUCGCGCAUCAGCGUCAGAAGAGGUCCAGCACGUCGCUUUCGCCACCGGCGUUCCUUCCGAUAUCAACGCAUUUCACCGCUCCACCGGAAGUUCCACAUGCCCCUACCUCACUCAAGACAGCCAGUAUCAAAGGCCAUUUCCCGGUUGAGCCGAAAGAUUUCACCCCUGACUUGACCGCCCGCCUACGCGCCCUUUAAGCCCAGUGAUUCCGAACAACGUUUGCACGGUUCGUCUUACCGCGGCUGCUGGCACGAACUUAGCCCGCGCUUCCUCCAG
Molecule: ribosomal RNA, 457 nt
Filed under: uncultured Planctomycetota bacterium
Lineage: Bacteria; Pseudomonadati; Planctomycetota
Description: uncultured planctomycete partial 16S ribosomal RNA
Source: RNAcentral